RNA transcript from Symsagittifera roscoffensis, 1384 nucleotides. It is a transcript of the gene named leukocyte receptor cluster member 1-like, with no coding region annotated. NCBI's taxonomy places the organism in Eukaryota, Metazoa, Xenacoelomorpha, Acoela, Convolutidae. The record is from RefSeq and is a predicted model, not a curated record. The transcript has 4 exons.
AAUAAUGAACAUUCUUCCUCAAAAAAGUUGGCAUGUGCGAAGAAAAGAAAAUGUAGAAAAAGUUCGUCGCGAUGAGGCGGAAGCUGAAAAUAAGCGGCUUGAACAGGAACGCAGGCAUUCACAAGCGGAGAUAGAGGCACUUAGAUCAAGGCUAGGAGGAAGCAAACAGUCAACUGAAUCAAUUCAAGAAAAGCAUAUUAAUCUGUUUGUUGACCGGGACUUCGACUACAGUGAGAAGAACAAAGACACCCAUCGUGAAACUGAGCUGAAAAAAAGUUAGGAUACAGAGCAAUGGGCGAGGAAAGUGGGCAUCUCAGUCGGGCUAAACGACAAGUCAGAAGAAGCACAAAGUCAUUGGGUGUUUGGGAAGAGUGCAGGAAAAGACUCGAAGACGACCCUAGUCGAAGAUCUGGAGUUGCAAAAGAAACUGAAGAAAGAUCUGAAAAGAAAAAGUUGCGAAGACCCAAUGAAUUCAUUUUCUUCAAACUCUAAAAAGUAUAUCGAAGGUAGCGACAAAUCCGAUUAUAGUAAAUCAGAUAGUUAUUCUGCCGAUUUAGCUUACAAAGCACUUAAGUUCUCAAACGGCGAGCAAGAUGUGAAAGAAAAGAAACGUCAAAUAGAAAAGAAAAAGAAACACAAAUCAAAAAAGUAUUCGUCAUUCGAAUCGAGCUCAUCUUCUGAAGAAGAGAAAACGAAAAAGAAAACGAGUAUUGAACAGUUGCGGAAAGAGCGAUUAGCGAGAGAAGAAAGAGAAAGAAAAAGAGCCGAAGAGUUAAUUAAACAAAAAGCUGGGAUAAAAUAGUGCAGUGCUUCCUCUUUGCAAAUACGAGAGGCGUCUAAAGAAAUCAAAGACUGAACAUGCAGAUGUCUUGAAGUUGCUCGGUAUCGGAAAUAGGAAAAUGUUGAAAGUGGAAGUAUUUGGAAUGCUGGAAAGGAAAGUUUUGGCCGAACUUUUUAAAACCGAGUACUAAUCAAUUGGUGCUUGCCGAACUUUAAUAUUUUAUUUUAUAUUAAUUGAUAGUCUAAAUGCGCCUUGGACGUAACUUUUUAAACUUUUCUAUCGAGCACAACGUUUAAGAAGGCUUGGAUAAGAACAUUUAAGAAUCAUUCAGAGCUCAAUGUUUAAGUGGCGUUCAUGCAAAAACUUUCUAGAACUUUAAAUCAAUCUUGAGUCUGAAAUAUUCUAGAAAACUUUUGAAAAAGGCUUGAAACUCUUCAAACAAAAUGAACUCGACUCAAACUCAAGGCUAGACAGUACCUGCUCACUUUUUGUCCAAAGUUUUGCGUAUGUAGAUUCAUUUUAGUCUGAAAUGAAUCAACUAAAAACGGCAACCUCCAUGAUUAGAAAUAUGUUUUUGCACGAGAACUAAUCAUCCUACGAAAU